UUUUUUUUCUCCUUUCUUUCUUUCUUCCCAGACCCACUUUCCUUUUCCUCUCCUCUCCUUUCCUUUACGUUUUGUUUUCAUUGUUCUCCUCUUAGCCUAAUUGAUCUUGUUUACAGAUUUUAGCCGGUGACAUCGUCAUCAAUCAGUCAUCUUAGAUUUCCACCCAAACCCUUUUCAUUUCCUUUCCAAGUGUCUUAAAAUUUUCCCAAAUCACCUAUUUGAUUCGUCGAUCGCUACCGCCGCUCUAAUCCCUCUCCAAGUCCAAGUAAUUUGACAAUUUCAUAAAUGCACCCAUGGUCAGUACUCCACGUUUACCUCUAACGUAUGGAAGGUUUCUACAUUUAAUAAUCCAAUGAAGGCUUUUGGUGUGUUGAAUUGCUAUUCCUUUGUAUUUCGUAUGAACCAAUGAUGAGAUCUAAAGCCUACAAUUUUGCUGCCAAAGGGCGAGAGACUUCACAUUGGAUGGUAAGAACAAAUAACAGUAGUUCUUGUUGAAAGUUUAUAGAUUUUAACUCAAGAUUGUGUUUAAUUAAAAGUUAUCGUUUACUGAAAAUAUUUUCUUUGAAACUACUGUUUAUUCAGGGGAUAUAGAUUGGAAAGGCGGUUUCUCCUUUCUCAAUUAUUUGAAAUUUUUUAAGAUAUAGAGCCAUAAGCAUAUCCUACCAUUUUAAUGUGCAUAGGUUCAUGCAUCCUCUUGUAUAUGGUGAAUAUCUAAAAACGAUGCAGAGUAUUGUUCUGGAAAAGGCAACCAGAGGUUAAGAUGGUAAAGGAUCAUUUGAUUUCGUGGGCAUAAAUCAAUACUUUACUUAUAAUAUGGGACAACAUCCAGAUAAGACAAAGCCCCUUGGUUACCAGUAGGAAUUAGAAGUUGGAUUUCCUUGAAAGAUACUCUCGUGCUUUUGUUUUUGACAUUGGAAUCAAUAUUUACAUUUACUAUAUAAAUAAGCUUGUCCGUUGCCUUUCCAGAUGCUCGUCAUGUAGUGCCCUAUCAGUUCGAGGGUAACUUAGCUCAAACUAUAUAUUUUACAAAACUGAGCCAAACUUUAUUAAGUACCUUUUGCUGAUAAAAAUGUCUUUAUGAAUUCGUUAUAAUCAGGUAGUGUAUGAUUUGCUCUACAUUGUACCGUGGAGUCUGCACAUAGCUAUUAACUAUGUUAAAGAGGGCUUUGGAAGUUGAUUUUUGCUGAGAAUGGUGCAGUUUGUAUUAAAUAUUCAUUGGAGUUUUGUGUUAAGGUGAAAAUUUAUCAAGAAUGCUAAAUCACAUUCAUAUGAUUAUCAGGAAUGGAUGAUCCAGGGAAUUUAACGCUAAAGGAUUUGCAUGAUACCACAAAAAUCAACUACUACAAGAGCUAUUUAGCAGAAUUGAUGAAAACAAUCAUUGAGGGAGCCAACGUGAUCGGGUACUUCCGAUGGACAUUGCUCAAUAAUUUCGAAUGGAGACUCAUUUGCUCUUUUUUGAUUUUUGGAUAGAAAAAUGCUAUGUUUUUUAUUGAUUGGUUGAUACAAAUAUGAGUUCUUUCAUAGUGUUUUUGGAGUUUUCCUGUACUUGAUUAUAUAGAAGAUAUGGUAUCUUUGUGAAAUGACAAAACUAGUUAACUGUUUAGUCCACGUCAUAUAACAUUCCUUUACUGAAUAUCGUUCUGGUCCACUGGAAUUAUUUUGGAAGCAUUUGGAUUAUCUGAAGACAGUUCAAAUGCAUCAUCUAUUGAGACCAACACCUUCCAUGUGUUUAGAAGUUACUAAAUUUUUAACGAUUAAAGGUGUUGUAUGUUUUUUUAUUCUAUGUUGCGUGCAUAGUUAACUUUCAGUCUUUCAUAAACUUUGCUAUCAUCAUUUAUACACCAUUUUAAUAAUGAUGUCUCAAGUCUUUUACUUACAUAAUCCUAGUUUGCUGGUUGUAUUUUUUUUUUUUCCAAAUAAUGUUUUAUAUGCUUUCCUAGAAAUUGGUGUUUGGUACAAUUGAUUCUGUAUUAUAUGUUUCUUCUCAUAAUCAUGGCUUACUUUGUCGAUUGCAUUAUUGAUCAUUUUUCUUAUGGUUUAUGAUUUGAAAUUAGUACUAUUAUUGACUGCUAUUAUGUUAUAUUCCACUAUCUUUAUGGAACACAAGGUAGACUGCCCAUGCCAUCAGAAAGCUGCCUUCUACCAAGGCUAAGAGGUAUUUUAUAGAAUGUAUUGAUCCACAAACAACCCAUACCCUUCACCCAUUUUUGUCAAGGUAUUGGACGAACUGCUCAGGCAAAAAACAGACGUUGUAAAGAUAGCCGAUGUAGCUCGAAUGAGUAUGGAGCAAAUGAUGCAAAACAAGCUGAAUGUUGUUGAGCAACAAUUCAAUUCUAUGUUGCAGCCUUCACAUCAUUCUAUACACUAGCCAUUUGGUAAAGUUCUUGGCUUCCUUAUACCACCAUUUACACCAUUGUCAAUAGAGAAUAAUGCUAAUGAGGAAGAUGAACGUUAUUGUCUUAUUGAGUACGAAGAGAAUAACUUUGGUGAGAAUCAACUGCAUAUCUAAUUCACAAGGAUGAAGAGUUAUUUCUUUAAGUGCAAGGUAAUAGAUAUAGAGCAUGUUUGCUAUACUUUUUUUUUUUUUUAAUUUAAAUGUAAUCAUACUUAGUGAAUGGUUUUUAUUUGUGUUUCAAUGAGAUAUUUUGGAUUCAAUAUUACAUUGAUUGACACUAUAUGUCUUAAUUUAA
This 2690-nucleotide long non-coding RNA is filed under the name Olea europaea subsp. europaea. Lineage: Eukaryota; Viridiplantae; Streptophyta; Magnoliopsida; Lamiales; Oleaceae. The record is from RNAcentral.